This 492-nucleotide ribosomal RNA is filed under the name uncultured bacterium. Its description in RNAcentral is "partial 16S ribosomal RNA". It matches the Rfam family "Bacterial small subunit ribosomal RNA", at positions 29 to 507 of the family's 1533-position model. The record is from RNAcentral.
AGUGAACGCUGGCGGUAGGCCUAACACAUGCAAGUCGAACGGCAGCACAGUAAGAGCUUGCUCUUACGGGUGGCGAGUGGCGGACGGGUGAGGAAUACAUCGGAAUCUACUUUUUCGUGGGGGAUAACGUAGGGAAACUUACGCUAAUACCGCAUACGACCUACGGGUGAAAGCGGGGGAUCUUCGGACCUUUCGCGAUUGAAUGAGCCGAUGUCGGAUUAGCUAGUUGGCGGGGUAAUGGCCCACCAAGGCGACGAUCCGUAGCUGGUCUGAGAGGAUGAUCAGCCACACUGGAACUGAGACACGGUCCAGACUCCUACGGGAGGCAGCAGUGGGGAAUAUUGGACAAUGGGCGCAAGCCUGAUCCAGCAAUACCGCGUGGGUGAAGAAGGCCUUCGGGUUGUAAAGCCCUUUUGUUGGGAAAGAAAAGCAGCAGGUUAAUACCCCGCUGUUCUGACGGUACCCAAAGAAUAAGCACCGGCUAACUUCGUG